Molecule: ribosomal RNA, 253 nt
Filed under: uncultured bacterium
Lineage: Bacteria
Description: partial 16S ribosomal RNA
Rfam family: Bacterial small subunit ribosomal RNA
Source: RNAcentral
UACGUAGGUGGCAAGCGUUGUUCGGAAUUAUUGGGCGUAAAGGGCUCGUAGGCGGUUUGUCGCGUCGGGAGUGAAAACCUUGGGCUUAACUCAGGGCUUGCUUUCGAUACGGGCAGACUAGAGGUAUGCAGGGGAGAACGGAAUUCCUGGUGUAGCGGUGAAAUGCGCAGAUAUCAGGAGGAACACCAAUAGCGAAGGCAGCUCGCUGGGACGGUACUGACGCUAAGGCGCGAAAGCGUGGGGAGCGAACAGG